GAUGAACGCUGGCGGCGUGCCUAACACAUGCAAGUCGAGCGAACAGACGAGGAGUUUGCUCCUCUGACGUUAGCGGCGGACGGGUGAGUAACACGUGGAUAACCUACCUAUAAGACUGGGAUAACUUCGGGAAACCGGAGCCAAUACCGGAUAAUAUAUUGAACCGCAUGGUUCAAUAGUGAAAGACGGUUUUGCUGUCGCUUAUAGACGACUACGCGCCGCAUUAUUUAGUUGGCAAGGUAACGGCUUACCAAGGCUACGAUGGUUAGACGACCUGAGAGCGUGGUCGGCCACACUGGAACUGAGGCACGGCCCAGACACCGGCGGGGGGCCGCAGUAGAGAAUCUUCCGCGAUGGGCGAGAGCCUGACAGAGCAACGCCGCGUGAGUGAUGAAGGUCUUCGGAUCGUAAAACGCUGUUAUUAGGGAAGAACAAAUGUGUAAGUACCUAUGCACGUCUUGACGGUACCUAAACAGAAAGCCACGGCUAACUACGUG
RNAcentral lists this ribosomal RNA (497 nucleotides) under uncultured bacterium. RNAcentral's name for it is "partial 16S ribosomal RNA". It matches the Rfam family "Bacterial small subunit ribosomal RNA", at positions 28 to 507 of the family's 1533-position model. The record is from RNAcentral.